CGUGGGUUCAAAUCCCAC
Molecule: non-coding RNA, 18 nt
Filed under: Streptomyces ambofaciens ATCC 23877
Lineage: Bacteria; Bacillati; Actinomycetota; Actinomycetes; Kitasatosporales; Streptomycetaceae
Source: RNAcentral